UAGUAUCAAAUCAUAAAAAUACAAAUUGUUUAGUCUCUAGGAAAUCUUGUAAGAUUUCCGUUGCUAUUUUUUCUGAAUAGGUGCAAUUUGGGUACUCGGUGCAAUUUGGGUACCCUUACGUUACUAUUCCAAGAAGAGAACUUCCCAUACAUGUACUUUUUAUUUUAAAAUAAAGUAUAUGAAUCAGUCAUGUGAGUGUUGGAUGAUGCCGUUAAAUAGUUUUGUUUAAAAAAAACCCAUCACAAACUAACUGACUUAAAAAGUCACUUUAGUGUCGGUUCAUUAUUAUGGAUACAGAGAGGAAAUAACGGUGCGCUAAAUUUUUAGAUGCGGUAUAAAUACACCUUAUCGCUAUUUGUCUGCCAUUACUGGAUAUCACACAGUUUCCCGUCAAAUUGUAAAAAUUUGACGUCAUAAAACAAAAUAUCUGACGCCACAAUGGAAAAGUGAUUGUUGUAUGCUUCAAAAGUUCAAGAGGUCGGGUCAGCCAGGAUUAGCAAUAAGGUGUAUUGUGUUCCAAAGUUUGUGUCAUUUUUAUCAUACAAUCCGUUCUGACAUAGAAAUAUUAUUGGUUUACAA
Molecule: long non-coding RNA, 579 nt
Filed under: Mytilus galloprovincialis (Mediterranean mussel)
Lineage: Eukaryota; Metazoa; Mollusca; Bivalvia; Mytilida; Mytilidae
Source: RNAcentral